RNAcentral lists this long non-coding RNA (581 nucleotides) under Anas platyrhynchos platyrhynchos (common mallard). RNAcentral's name for it is "lncRNA (ENSAPLG00000030728.1)". The record is from RNAcentral. Lineage: Eukaryota; Metazoa; Chordata; Aves; Anseriformes; Anatidae.
CUGGCUGCUUGUGGCCCGCAGAGCACCCAGGAAGGAGUUCCCCAGCUAGGCCGAGGCAGCUGAUGUGCCAGAGGGUGCCAUCUGCAGCACCAGUGGGCCUCAGGUGCCCUGCCCUGGCCUGGGGCAGGCUGAGGCAGGGAGUUGGCUGUCCUGACUGAGAAGUUGGCGAUCAGGCUGGUUGGCUGUUGAGGGUGGAGAGAAACUGAAAGGAAACGGUGGAGAUGAGUGCCCAAAUCCCAUUGCUGGGCAGUGAAGGGGCAGCUGGUGGUCAUGCUUGGUAUUGAGAUGUCCAAGAUAGUGGAGGCUGAAGUUGUCCAAGAAACUAGAAUACUGCUGAUUCACCAAGUUCUUCUCUUCGAACUCUGCUUCAGGAAUACUUCCAUGUGUCUGUAGAGAGGACUCAGAAGAGGAAAGCAAGCAAGAAGGUCUUAUGCAACAGGUCUCAGAGGAUCUAUUUGUGCAUCUGCAGAGCUGAGCCAGACAUCUCCAAGCUUUCCCAGCGGAGGGCAAUUGCUGGAUUAGGUAAGGGAACUUUCCACCAUCUCUUCUGGGAGAUCUGGUCACAUCAGGUAGGUUGGAGG